RNAcentral lists this ribosomal RNA (2902 nucleotides) under Klebsiella pneumoniae. Its description in RNAcentral is "23S ribosomal RNA". It matches the Rfam family "Bacterial large subunit ribosomal RNA". The record is from RNAcentral. Lineage: Bacteria; Pseudomonadati; Pseudomonadota; Gammaproteobacteria; Enterobacterales; Enterobacteriaceae.
GGUUAAGCGACUAAGCGUACACGGUGGAUGCCCUGGCAGUCAGAGGCGAUGAAGGACGUGCUAAUCUGCGAAAAGCGUCGGUAAGGUGAUAUGAACCGUUAUAACCGGCGAUGUCCGAAUGGGGAAACCCAGUGCAAUUCGUUGCACUAUCGUUAACUGAAUACAUAGGUUAACGAGGCGAACCGGGGGAACUGAAACAUCUAAGUACCCCGAGGAAAAGAAAUCAACCGAGAUUCCCCCAGUAGCGGCGAGCGAACGGGGAGCAGCCCAGAGUCUGAAUCAGCUUGUGUGUUAGUGGAACGGUCUGGAAAGUCCGACGGUACAGGGUGAUAGUCCCGUACACCAAAAUGCACAGGUUGUGAACUCGAAGAGUAGGGCGGGACACGUGGUAUCCUGUCUGAAUAUGGGGGGACCAUCCUCCAAGGCUAAAUACUCCUGACUGACCGAUAGUGAACCAGUACCGUGAGGGAAAGGCGAAAAGAACCCCGGCGAGGGGAGUGAAAAAGAACCUGAAACCGUGUACGUACAAGCAGUGGGAGCACCUUCGGGUGUGACUGCGUACCUUUUGUAUAAUGGGUCAGCGACUUAUAUUCUGUAGCAAGGUUAACCGUAUAGGGGAGCCGCAGGGAAACCGAGUCUUAACUGGGCGUUAAGUUGCAGGGUAUAGACCCGAAACCCGGUGAUCUAGCCAUGGGCAGGUUGAAGGUUGGGUAACACUAACUGGAGGACCGAACCGACUAAUGUUGAAAAAUUAGCGGAUGACUUGUGGCUGGGGGUGAAAGGCCAAUCAAACCGGGAGAUAGCUGGUUCUCCCCGAAAGCUAUUUAGGUAGCGCCUCGUGAAUUCAUCUUCGGGGGUAGAGCACUGUUUCGGCUAGGGGGUCAUCCCGACUUACCAACCCGAUGCAAACUACGAAUACCGAAGAAUGUUAUCACGGGAGACACACGGCGGGUGCUAACGUCCGUCGUGAAGAGGGAAACAACCCAGACCGCCAGCUAAGGUCCCAAAGUCAUGGUUAAGUGGGAAACGAUGUGGGAAGGCACAGACAGCCAGGAUGUUGGCUUAGAAGCAGCCAUCAUUUAAAGAAAGCGUAAUAGCUCACUGGUCGAGUCGGCCUGCGCGGAAGAUGUAACGGGGCUAAACCAUGCACCGAAGCUGCGGCAGCGACACUAUGUGUUGUUGGGUAGGGGAGCGUUCUGUAAGCCUGCGAAGGUGACCUGUGAGGGUUGCUGGAGGUAUCAGAAGUGCGAAUGCUGACAUAAGUAACGAUAAAGCGGGUGAAAAGCCCGCUCGCCGGAAGACCAAGGGUUCCUGUCCAACGUUAAUCGGGGCAGGGUGAGUCGACCCCUAAGGCGAGGCCGAAAGGCGUAGUCGAUGGGAAACAGGUUAAUAUUCCUGUACUUGGUGUUACUGCGAAGGGGGGACGGAGAAGGCUAUGUUAGCCGGGCGACGGUUGUCCCGGUUUAAGCAUGUAGGCUGAUUGUCCAGGCAAAUCCGGAUAAUCAAGGCUGAGGUGUGAUGACGAGGCACUACGGUGCUGAAGUAACAAAUGCCCUGCUUCCAGGAAAAGCCUCUAAGCAUCAGGUAACAUUAAAUCGUACCCCAAACCGACACAGGUGGUCAGGUAGAGAAUACCAAGGCGCUUGAGAGAACUCGGGUGAAGGAACUAGGCAAAAUGGUGCCGUAACUUCGGGAGAAGGCACGCUGGUGUGUAGGUGAAGCCCCUGCGGGUGGAGCUGAGACCAGUCGAAGAUACCAGCUGGCUGCAACUGUUUAUUAAAAACACAGCACUGUGCAAACACGAAAGUGGACGUAUACGGUGUGACGCCUGCCCGGUGCCGGAAGGUUAAUUGAUGGGGUUAUCCGUAAGGAGAAGCUCUUGAUCGAAGCCCCGGUAAACGGCGGCCGUAACUAUAACGGUCCUAAGGUAGCGAAAUUCCUUGUCGGGUAAGUUCCGACCUGCACGAAUGGCGUAAUGAUGGCCAGGCUGUCUCCACCCGAGACUCAGUGAAAUUGAACUCGCUGUGAAGAUGCAGUGUACCCGCGGCAAGACGGAAAGACCCCGUGAACCUUUACUAUAGCUUGACACUGAACAUUGAGCCUUGAUGUGUAGGAUAGGUGGGAGGCUUUGAAGCGUGGACGCCAGUCUGCGUGGAGCCAACCUUGAAAUACCACCCUUUAAUGUUUGAUGUUCUAACGUUGGCCCCUGACCGGGGUUGCGGACAGUGUCUGGUGGGUAGUUUGACUGGGGCGGUCUCCUCCCAAAGCGUAACGGAGGAGCACGAAGGUUAGCUAAUCCUGGUCGGACAUCAGGAGGUUAGUGCAAUGGCAUAAGCUAGCUUGACUGCGAGCGUGACGGCGCGAGCAGGUGCGAAAGCAGGUCAUAGUGAUCCGGUGGUUCUGAAUGGAAGGGCCAUCGCUCAACGGAUAAAAGGUACUCCGGGGAUAACAGGCUGAUACCGCCCAAGAGUUCAUAUCGACGGCGGUGUUUGGCACCUCGAUGUCGGCUCAUCACAUCCUGGGGCUGAAGUAGGUCCCAAGGGUAUGGCUGUUCGCCAUUUAAAGUGGUACGCGAGCUGGGUUUAGAACGUCGUGAGACAGUUCGGUCCCUAUCUGCCGUGGGCGCUGGAGAAUUGAGGGGGGCUGCUCCUAGUACGAGAGGACCGGAGUGGACGCAUCACUGGUGUUCGGGUUGUCAUGCCAAUGGCACUGCCCGGUAGCUAAAUGCGGAAGAGAUAAGUGCUGAAAGCAUCUAAGCACGAAACUUGCCCCGAGAUGAGUUCUCCCUGAGACUUUAAGUCUCCUGAAGGAACGUUGAAGACGACGACGUUGAUAGGCCGGGUGUGUAAGCGCAGCGAUGCGUUGAGCUAACCGGUACUAAUGAACCGUGAGGCUUAACCUU